CAGUCGCCGCGGUAAUACGUAGGGUGCAAGCGUUAAUCGGAAUUACUGGGCGUAAAGCGUGCGCAGGCGGUUAUAUAAGACAGAUGUGAAAUCCCCGGGCUCAACCUGGGAACUGCAUUUGUGACUGUAUAGCUAGAGUACGGCAGAGGGGGAUGGAAUUCCGCGUGUAGCAGUGAAAUGCGUAGAUAUGCGGAGGAACACCGAUGGCGAAGGCAAUCCCCUGGUCCUGUACUGACGCUCAUGCACGAAAGCGUGGGGAGCAAACAGGAUUAGAUACCCCCGUAGUCCCUGUCUCUUAUAC
RNAcentral lists this ribosomal RNA (301 nucleotides) under uncultured bacterium. Its description in RNAcentral is "partial 16S ribosomal RNA". It matches the Rfam family "Bacterial small subunit ribosomal RNA", at positions 509 to 807 of the family's 1533-position model. The record is from RNAcentral.